AAGCCACAACUAUUCACUCUUCUAGAUACUGCUUACACUGUGUUGAGAGCACAGGUCAGUGACUGAACAUAAAACUCAAACACCACUGAAGAAUUGCAAAGGUAUCCAAGGUCUGUGCGGUAUACCAAAUGUUCCUAAUUGCUUAAUACAGAUCAUCAUGUGAAGAUGUUCGCCAAAAAUUUCAGAAGGCUGACUGCAGGAGACUCAGACCUUCUUUCAUUGGAAACGCAUUCUACUUACUUACUCUAUGAAAACCAUUCCUGAUUUUGAUCAUCUCUGUUAAAUUUCUUCUUAAUCUUCAGUGCUCUAAGGGACAGCAGCCUACCCUCUCCAGUCUCUCCACGUAACCGAAAGUUCUUCUGUCCUGUUACCAUUCCAGGAAAUGUUUUCAACACCCUCUCCAAGGCCUUUGCAGUAUGUUCUAUAUUGUAGCAGCUCCAUCUUUUGGAGGUUGUAAACAAAGCAGGCAUUCAAAAUAAAAUACGUUUAGAUGUUUAUCUGACAUUUGACUUCAGAGCAGACACACAUGCGGAGAUUCUUCACAGAAACUUGUAGUUUUAUGUGGACUUCAGUGAUUAGGCCUAGGACACGACCUUAAGGAACCUGCUUUCAUUUGUGCUCGAUAUGGCCUCAACCAGGAGACAGCUUUCCCCUUGAAUCCCAUUGAAUUUCAUUUUGCUGGGGUUCCUUGAUGCCACACUCAGUCAAAUGCAAUUUUGCUAUCAAAGGCACCUUCCCUCUGAAAUCUAGCUCUUUUGUCCAUUGACCAAGACUUUAGUGAGGUCAAGAGCUGAGUGGCCCUGGUAAACACAGACGGAGCAUCAGUGAGCAUGUGCUGCUUGUUUGCACAGAUGAUGACCCCCAGCAAAUGAUGCUACUUUGGAAAAG
Molecule: long non-coding RNA, 888 nt
Organism: Stegostoma tigrinum
Lineage: Eukaryota; Metazoa; Chordata; Chondrichthyes; Orectolobiformes; Stegostomatidae
Exons: 4
Source: RefSeq, a predicted model, not a curated record